CUACGGGGGGCAGCAGUGGGGAAUAUUGGACAAUGGAGGAAACUCUGAUCCAGCCAUGCCGCGUGAGUGAAGAAGGCCUUAGGGUUGUAAAGCUCUUUCGCAAGGGAAGAUAAUGACGGUACCUUGAUAAGAAGCCCCGGCUAACUUCGUGCCAGCAGCCGCGGUAAUACGAAGGGGGCUAGCGUUGUUCGGAAUUACUGGGCGUAAAGCGCGCGUAGGCGGUUUGGAAAGUCAGGUGUGAAAGCCCGGGGCUCAACCCCGGAACUGCACUUGAAACUAUCAAACUAGAAUCCGGUAGAGGGCAGUGGAAUUCCUAGUGUAGCGGUGAAAUGCGUAGAUAUUAGGAGGAACACCAGUGGCGAAGGCGACUGCCUGGGCCGGUAUUGACGCUGAGGUGCGAAAGCGUGGGGAGCAAACGGGAUUAGAUACCCUAGUAGUC
RNAcentral lists this ribosomal RNA (439 nucleotides) under uncultured bacterium. Its description in RNAcentral is "partial 16S ribosomal RNA". It matches the Rfam family "Bacterial small subunit ribosomal RNA", at positions 339 to 795 of the family's 1533-position model. The record is from RNAcentral.